AAGUACAAUUAUUGUAAGUUGCUCUGGAUAAUAGCGUCUGCUAAAUGACACAAA
This is a non-coding RNA of Salmo salar (Atlantic salmon), 54 nucleotides long. The record is from Rfam. NCBI's taxonomy places the organism in Eukaryota, Metazoa, Chordata, Actinopteri, Salmoniformes, Salmonidae.